GAUGAAGAACGUAGCGAAAUGCGAUAAGUAAUGUGAAUUGCAGAAUUCAGUGAAUCAUCGAACCUUUGAACGCACCUUGCGCCCUUUGGCUAUUCUGAAGGGCAUGCCUGUUUGAGUAUCAUGAACACCUCAACUCUCAUGGUUUGCCAUGAUGAGCUUGGACUUUGGGGGUCUUGCUGGCCUACGGUCGGCUCCUCUCAAAUGAAUCAGCUUGCCAGUGUUUGGUGGCAUCACGGGUGUGAUAACUAUCUACGCUUGUGGUUUCCCGCCAGGUAACCUUCAGUGAUGGAGGUUCGCUGGGGCUCAUAAAUGUCCCUCCACAGUGAGGACAGCUUUUGAACGUUUGAUCUCAAAUCAGGUAGGACUACCCGCUGAACUUAAGCAUAUCAAUAAGCGGAGGA
Molecule: unclassified non-coding RNA, 401 nt
Filed under: soil metagenome
Description: partial contains 5.8S ribosomal RNA, internal transcribed spacer 2, and large subunit ribosomal RNA
Rfam family: 5.8S ribosomal RNA (bases 1-121)
Source: RNAcentral